This 319-nucleotide ribosomal RNA is filed under the name uncultured eukaryote. RNAcentral describes it as "partial 18S ribosomal RNA". It matches the Rfam family "Eukaryotic small subunit ribosomal RNA", at positions 1470 to 1796 of the family's 1831-position model. The record is from RNAcentral.
CCCUUAGAUGUUCUGGGCUACACGCGUGCUACAAUGGCGUUUCCAGCAAGUCUGCGAACCCGAGAGGGCCAGCGGAUCUUCGAAUUGGCGUCGUGAUCGGGACAGUCGAUUGCAAUUAUUUGACUCAAACGAGGAAUUCCUUGUAAUCGCGAUUCAUCAUAUCGCGCUGAAUACGUCCCUGCCCUUUGUACACACCGCCCGUCGCUCCUACCGAUUGAGCGAUCCGGUAAAUGUUUUGGAUUGGUGCCGGGGCGGCUAGCUGCCGGUCGCUACGAAAUUUUGUGAACCUUAUCGCUUAGAGGAAGGAAAAGUCGUAACA